This 29-nucleotide non-coding RNA is filed under the name Rattus norvegicus (Norway rat). Lineage: Eukaryota; Metazoa; Chordata; Mammalia; Rodentia; Muridae. The record is from RNAcentral.
UGGGAUAGAAUGGGACAAACUGUGUCACA